UAGUAGGUCUGGCCUGCCCAGUGAUAAAAUUUAACGGCCGCGGUAUAUUGACUGUGCAAAGGUAGCAUAAUCAUUAGUCUUUUAAUAGAAGGCUGGAAUGAAAGGUUUAACGAGAAAUUAACUGUCUCAAUUACAAAUUUGAAUUUAUCUUUUGAGUCAAAAGACUUAAAUAUCAUUGUGGGACGAGAAGACCCUAUAGAGCUUAACAAUUUUUUUUUUAUAUUUAUUUAGUUAAAUUAUUUAUAUAUAUUGAGAAAAUUGUUUUGUUGGGGUGACAAUAAAUAUAUAUUUAACUUUUAUCAUAAUAUAAACAUUAAUUUAUGAUUUUUGGAUCCAAAAAUUUUGAUCAAUAGAUUAAGUUACCUUAGGGAUAACAGCGUAAUCUUCCCUCAGAGUUCAUAUCUACGGGAAGGCUUGCGACCUCG
RNAcentral lists this ribosomal RNA (425 nucleotides) under Ischnura perparva. Its description in RNAcentral is "partial 16S ribosomal RNA". It matches the Rfam family "Bacterial large subunit ribosomal RNA", at positions 1846 to 2528 of the family's 2925-position model. The record is from RNAcentral. Lineage: Eukaryota; Metazoa; Arthropoda; Insecta; Odonata; Coenagrionidae.